Molecule: ribosomal RNA, 301 nt
Filed under: uncultured bacterium
Lineage: Bacteria
Description: partial 16S ribosomal RNA
Rfam family: Bacterial small subunit ribosomal RNA
Source: RNAcentral
CAGUCGCCACGGGAAUACGUAGGGUGCGAGCGUUAAUCGGAAUUACUGGGCGUAAAGCGUGCGCAGGCGGUUAUAUAAGACAGAUGUGAAAUCCCCGGGCUCAACCUGGGACCUGCAUUUGUGACUGUAUAGCUAGAGUACGGUAGAGGGGGAUGGACUUCCGCGUGUAGCAGUGAAAUGCGUAGAUAUGCGGAGGAACACCGAUGGCGAAGGCAAUCCCCUGGACCUGUACUGACGCUCAUGCACGAAAGCGUGGGGAGCAAACAGGAUUAGAUACCCGCGUAGUCCCUGUCUCUUAUAC